CCUACGGGAGGCAGCAGUAGGGAAUAUUGGACAAUGGGCGAAAGCCUGAUCCAGCAACGCCGCGUGCGCGAUGACGGCCUUCGGGUUGUAAAGCGCUUUUAGAGGAGAUGAGAAAGGACAGUAUCCUCUGAAUAAGCCUCGGCGAACUACGUGCCAGCAGCCGCGGUAAAACGUAGGAGGCUAGCGUUAUUCGGAUUUAUUGGGCGUAAAGCGCGUGCAGGCGGUCUGACAAGUUGGAUGUGAAAGCUCCUGGCUCAACUGGGAGACGUCGUUCAAAACUGUCGGACUAGAGAAUGGGAGAGGGAGGUGGAAUUCCGGGUGUAGUGGUGAAAUGCGUAGAUAUCCGGAGGAACACCAGUGGCGAAAGCGGCCUCCUAGACCAUUUCUGACGCUAAGACGCGAAAGCUAGGGUAGCAAACGGGAUUAGAGACCCCGGUAGUCCUAGCCGUAAACGAUGUAGACUUGGCGUUGGCGGAGUUAAAUCUGCCAGUGCCGGAGCUAACGCGUUAAGUCUACCGCCUGGGGAUUACGA
This 532-nucleotide ribosomal RNA is filed under the name uncultured bacterium. Its description in RNAcentral is "bacterial SSU rRNA". It matches the Rfam family "Bacterial small subunit ribosomal RNA", at positions 338 to 885 of the family's 1533-position model. The record is from RNAcentral.